CGUGUAGGCGGUUACGUAAGCCUGAUGUAAAAAGGCACUGGCUUAACCAGUGAGUUGCGUUGGGAACUGCGUAGCUAGAGUUCAGGAGAGGGAACUGGAAUUCCAGGUGUAGGGGUGAAAUCUGUAGAUAUCUGGAAGAACGCCAAAGACGAAGGUAAGUUCCUGGCCAUGGACUGACGCUGAGGCGCGAAAGCGUGGGGAGCAAACA
This 208-nucleotide ribosomal RNA is filed under the name uncultured bacterium. RNAcentral's name for it is "partial 16S ribosomal RNA". It matches the Rfam family "Bacterial small subunit ribosomal RNA", at positions 568 to 774 of the family's 1533-position model. The record is from RNAcentral.